UCCCUGGAGGACUAGUGGUUAGGGCUUGGUGCUCUCACUGCCAUGUUCCGGGUUCGAUUCCCGGCCAGGGAA
This 72-nucleotide transfer RNA is filed under the name Pangasianodon hypophthalmus (striped catfish). It matches the Rfam family "tRNA". Rfam says of the family: Transfer RNA (tRNA) molecules are approximately 80 nucleotides in length. Their secondary structure includes four short double-helical elements and three loops (D, anti-codon, and T loops). Further hydrogen bonds mediate the characteristic L-shaped molecular structure. tRNAs have two regions of fundamental functional importance: the anti-codon, which is responsible for specific mRNA codon recognition, and the 3' end, to which the tRNAs corresponding amino acid is attached (by aminoacyl-tRNA synthetases). tRNAs cope with the degeneracy of the genetic code in two manners: having more than one tRNA (with a specific anti-codon) for a particular amino acid; and 'wobble' base-pairing, i.e. permitting non-standard base-pairing at the 3rd anti-codon position. Lineage: Eukaryota; Metazoa; Chordata; Actinopteri; Siluriformes; Pangasiidae. The record is from Rfam by way of RNAcentral.